Molecule: ribosomal RNA, 883 nt
Filed under: Paradiplectanum blairense
Lineage: Eukaryota; Metazoa; Platyhelminthes; Monogenea; Dactylogyridea; Diplectanidae
Description: eukaryotic LSU rRNA
Rfam family: Eukaryotic large subunit ribosomal RNA
Source: RNAcentral
GGAUUCCCUCAGUAACGGCGAGUGAACAGGGAACAGCCCAGUACCGAAGCCUAUGCACGCUUGUGUAUAAGGCAAUGUGGUAUUAAGAUGGUUGCCUGGAGCGGUCGGUCUAUUCUAAGUCCAGCAUAGAUUAUGGCUCUGGAUCUUGUCCAUAGCGGGUGGAAGACCCGUUUGAAUAGACCUUCAGGCAUGUUGACCGUUCUCAGAUGCAACCAUCGUGGAGUCGGAUAGCUUGAGAAUGCUGUCCAAAGUGGGUGGUAAACUCCAUCCAAGGCUAAAUAUUUGCACGAGUCCGAUAGUUGACAAGUACCGUGAGGGAAAGUUGAAAAGUACUCUGAAGAGAGAGUAAAUAGUACGUGAAGCCGCAUGUAGGGAAGCUGGUGGAGUCAAGCUGCAUGCCUUUAGAAUGAAGCCAGUGACUGUUGUUCACAUGGUUGAGGUGGUUCAUUGAUUACCUUGUAAGAAGGUAGACAGACUUGUCUGUUUCCAGUGGGCACUGGUCAGUGUCUCGGAGUCGAUGAAUUCGUCCUCUAUGUUACUGGCGUACUUUCUCUAUGGCAGACAUCACGAUCGACAAUGUUGUUGGCGUGUCGCAGUCAAACCAUGAGUUUUUGGAUUUUCAAUCCAUGGCUUGUGGGACGGCAGGUGACCAGUCGUGCAGUCUCGUUACUGUACGGUCGGUUUAUUGUGGUCGAGGCCAGCUGUCUGCGAUGCUUUGUCUAGCUAUACAAUUUGUCUGUUGCUCACUGUUGCCCUGAUUGAUUGCUCUCGUCUCAUUGUUCACAAUGGUGGGUUUCCAUCUCUGAUGGUGCUUGCCAAUUGUCGGCCUCUGCGGAUGAAUAGUGAUCAGUCAGUGUGUAUGAAUCGUGGUGUUGUGGUAGAC